RNAcentral lists this ribosomal RNA (460 nucleotides) under uncultured bacterium. RNAcentral describes it as "partial 16S ribosomal RNA". It matches the Rfam family "Bacterial small subunit ribosomal RNA", at positions 338 to 795 of the family's 1533-position model. The record is from RNAcentral.
CCUACGGGAGGCAGCAGUGAGGAAUAUUGGUCAAUGGGCGAGAGCCUGAACCAGCCAAGUCGCGUGAAGGAUGACUGCCCUACGGGUUGUAAACUUCUUUUGUCAGGGAGCAAUUGGGUCCACGCGUGGGCUUAGCGAGAGUACCUGAAGAAAAAGCUUCGGCUAACUCCGUGCCAACAGCCGCGGUAAUACGGAGGAUGCGAUCGUUCUCCGGAUUUAUUGGGUUUAAGGGAGGCGUAGGCGGAAUAUCAAGUCGGCGGUAAAGAUUCGGGGCUCAACCCCGUCGUGCCGUUGAUACUGGUGUUCUUGAGUGGGCGAGAAGUAUGCGGAAUGCGUGGUGUAGCGGUGAAAUGCAUAGAUAUCACGCAGAACUCCGAUUGCGAAGGCAGCAUACCGGCGCCCAACUGACGCUGAAGCACGAAAGCGUGGGUAUCGAACAGGAUUAGAUACCCUGGUAGUC